RNAcentral lists this ribosomal RNA (458 nucleotides) under uncultured bacterium. RNAcentral describes it as "bacterial SSU rRNA". It matches the Rfam family "Bacterial small subunit ribosomal RNA", at positions 28 to 528 of the family's 1533-position model. The record is from RNAcentral.
AGCGAACGCUAGCGGCGGGCUUAACACAUGCAAGUCGAGCGCGUGGCUUCGGCCACGUGCGGCGAACGGGUGAGUAACACGUAGGUCAUCUGCCCUUUGGUGGGGAAUAACCCGAGGAAACUCGGGCUAAUACCGCAUACUGCCUUCGGGUCAAAGGCUUCGGCCGCCAGAGGAUGAGCCUGCGUCGCAUUACCUAGUUGGUGGGGUAAUGGCCCACCAAGGGGACGAUGCGUAGCUGGUCUGAGAGGAUGAUCAGCCACACUGGGACUGAGGCACGGCCCAGACUCCUACGGGGGGCAGCAGUGGGGAAUAUUGCGCAAUGGGGGAAACCCUGACGCAGCCACGCCGCGUGGGUGAUGAAGGCCUGGUUGUAAAGCCUGUCGGGGGGACGGAAGUACUGACGGUACCCUCCAAGAAAGACACCGGCUAACUCCGUGCCAGCAGCCGCGGUAAAGUGU